CUAAAACUCAUUCCCAUUAAGUUAACCAGAGUUCAGAGCUCUCAGCUUCCUGCAGGCAGUGCCCCUGCCAUCCUGUAUUUUUCAGUCUUGACCCCCAGUUCCACAAUUUAUCAUUAUCUGUGAACUGGAGGAGAAUUGAACAAGUAGUUCUCAGAAAUUCCACUUAUGAAUAAAACAUUGAAAGUUAUUCUCCUGCACUUAAAAUAAAAACAGCAAUUUUUGUCCUUUAUCUGUGUAAAAUUUUUCUAUUAAUGGCUGGCUUUGUAUUUUCUGAAGACUAUUUCAGUGCAUCUAUUAUAAAUAUUUAUGUGAUAAGAAAAAUGUUGGAACUCCUUCAAGGAAAUCAGAUGAGAAUGCAUCCACACACUUCAAAAAUAAAUGCAUAAGAUGCUGUCUCAACAAAACCCAUUUGAAUAUCUGGGGAGAGUGGACUGUGACCCUGUGAGAUAUCUUUCUGAAAUUAUGACACUUGCAGAAAUGUACCUAUUCCACAGAAUCUUUUUCAUUCCCAUUGUCUCGGUUUGCCAAAACGUGUAAACAGAAUGCCCUACGUAAGAUGACAGCUAAGCGACCACAAGAAGUUGAUUUGUUGCAAAUGUAAAGUGCUGGAGACGUGCUCCAUGUCACAAAACAUCUUAUCUAGAAUACUGUGUGGAAGAAUCAAAGAAAAGAAAACAAUAACAUUACAUAAAACAAAGGUAAAGUUUGACCUUCAGACCCAUCAAAAAGAAGCUCACCAUAUUGCUAUACAAGAAAAUCUGUCAUAAGGAAUCUAAGUCUACCUAUCAUGUGCUUGUUUGGAAAUAUGAUUCUUUGGAAAACAAAGCAUAAAUUCCCUGGGUUACUUUUUGUUUCCAGUCGUGAAAAUGAAAAUAUUCUUUCUCAAUGUUUAACAGAGCCUAAUGUAAGUGACGUUUGCUGUAUUUUGUC
RNAcentral lists this long non-coding RNA (930 nucleotides) under Struthio camelus australis. RNAcentral's name for it is "lncRNA (ENSSCUG00000004898.1)". The record is from RNAcentral. Lineage: Eukaryota; Metazoa; Chordata; Aves; Struthioniformes; Struthionidae.